Molecule: transfer RNA, 76 nt
Filed under: Alpheus japonicus
Lineage: Eukaryota; Metazoa; Arthropoda; Malacostraca; Decapoda; Alpheidae
Description: tRNA-Arg
Source: RNAcentral
AAUUAGGAAGCGAUAACUUGCAUCAAGUUUCGGCCUUGAACUAGGUAUAAAUUUACCCCUAAUUACCAUUUGAUAU